GAUAAACGCUGGCGGCGCACAUAAGACAUGCAAGUCGAACGGACUUAACUCAUUCUUUUAGAUUGAGAGCGGUUAGUGGCGGACUGGUGAGUAACACGUAAGCAACCUGCCUAUCAGAGGGGAAUAACAGUGAGAAAUCAUUGCUAAUACCGCAUAAGCUAGUAGCAUCGCAUGAUGUAGCUAGAAAAGGAGUAAUCCGCUGAUAGAUGGGCUUGCGUCUGAUUAGCUAGUUGGUGGGGCAACGGCCUACCAAGGCGACGAUCAGUAGCCGGACUGAGGGGUUGAACGGCCACCUUGGGACUGGGAUACGGACCAGACUCCUACGGGAGGCAGCAGUCGGGAAUAUUGCGCAAUGGAGGAAACUCUGACGCAGUGACGCCGCGUAUAGGAAGAAGGUUUUCGGAUUGUAAACUAUUGUCGUGAGGGAAGAAAUUGACAGUACCUCAGGAGGAAGCUCCGGCUAACUAUGUGCCAGCAGCCGCGGUAA
This 487-nucleotide ribosomal RNA is filed under the name uncultured bacterium. RNAcentral describes it as "partial 16S ribosomal RNA". It matches the Rfam family "Bacterial small subunit ribosomal RNA", at positions 28 to 523 of the family's 1533-position model. The record is from RNAcentral.